CAACCGCUUUCACAUUGUGGAAUCUCAUAGGUUUAUGUCAUGAUUAAUAAUGGUGUAAUUCAUGUUAUGUAUGAUAGAUGGUUAUGGAAUGAUGAGAAAGAAGAAUUAGUGAUAUGUUAUAUGACCGGCACAUUUGAGUUCUCCUAGCUCUGCUUGAUGAAGAGAUUUUCUGUUACGUUGUUGUUCCACUAACUGCAUAUGAUCCAUUUAUUACACAAGUAUGAAUUGAUUUACUUAUCAGCUAUGAUAGAAAAGACAACUGAUUCUUCUUAACUGAUGUUUAACAUGCUGGGGUAGUUGGGGUAGUUGAAUAGAGCAUAAGUUCAGAUUCGUAGUACUUUGAAUGCUAACCUUUUUUGCAGCUCAAUUUCAAUUUUGAUUUUUUGCAAACAACCAAGUAGAGCAAUGUAAAUGCAACUUUUUCCCUUUUGGAUGAUUUGGCGCUAUAGUUGUGCUCUUCAUGCUAUACAUUUUCCUAGAAAUUAGACAGUAAGGAUUUAAGAAAAAAUAAAUGAUGGUUUCUCGUGAAAAGCUCCUGCUGAUUGUUUUCCCCCCAGUUUCUUAUCCAUCUUAUAGGUAUUAGCAAAGAUGAUAUCUGUGGAAGGUAAUGGACCCUAAUUGCCACAAUUUUUUGCUCGAUAUCUAAUAUUCCAUCAUAUUUAAUAUGCAGAGUACUGUACAUUUUUCUUCUCGUGCAUUUUUUCUGAUUUCACAGUACGAACUACCCAGUAUUGAAUAACAUUUAUUUGGGGAUUAACAUUGUAGUGCAUAUAACCGGAUAAUGUGAUGGUGAUUCUAAGGUUCCUACUAAAGAGGUAAUGUGAAUAGGCCUGACACUUAUUUUAGAGAGCUCAUAUUCUCUUACGUUGAAAUGAACGCCUGGGAUAUUUUUGUAGUUUUUACCGUAGUUUGGAUCAGUAAUCAAGAAAAGAUGUCUUAUAUGAAUUUGAAGAUCUUGGGGGGUACCUAUUAGUUUUCAAUGUAGUACUUUCUGAUGAGACCUUACAUCCCCUUUAUUGUAUCAUAUUUUUCUGUUAUUUCUUUGCUCUUUUUGCUCUUCUUGGUUGCAGUGUUCACAUGAAUCAGUCGAGCACCACCCAAAAAAGGAACUGUGAAGAGAAGCUUGAAUCAUGUCUCUACAAAAUCACUGAAAAGAAUCUCUGACCAAUCAGCAGCAAGGUUAAUAAUAAUAGGAGAAAAGAAGAUUCUUGGUUUUUUGUUGAUCUUGGUGUCAUGAACUGGUUAAUAUCUUCACCGUGUGCCUAAAGCGAAAAGAAAAUUGUUUGCACGAAGAGAUGCUCAAGCCAACUAUAGUUGAAUUGUAUAGUUUGGUAACUUUGUACGUGACAAAUGUUGCUAUAUUACUUUUUGUUCUUGGUA
This is a long non-coding RNA of Lycium ferocissimum, 1380 nucleotides long. RefSeq lists it as uncharacterized. Lineage: Eukaryota; Viridiplantae; Streptophyta; Magnoliopsida; Solanales; Solanaceae. The record is from RefSeq and is a predicted model, not a curated record. The transcript has 2 exons.